CCCUUAGAUGUUCUGGGCCGCACACGCGCUACACUGAAGGAGGCAACGUGUACUCCUGGAUCGAAAGAUUUGGGUAACCCGCGAAUCUCCUUCGUGCUAGGGAUUGAGGUUUGCAAUUAUCCUUCAUGAACGAGGAAUUCCCAGUAAGUGCAAGUCAUAAGCUUGCGCUGACUACGUCCCUGCCCUUUGUACACACCGCCCGUCGCUACUACCGAUUGAAUGAUUUAGUGAGGACUUCGGACUGGGACCGAUGCGGCUUUCGGGCUGCGUCGGUAUUCUGGAAAGAUGUCCAAACUGUAUCAUUUAGAGGAAGUAAAAGUCGUANCA
RNAcentral lists this ribosomal RNA (327 nucleotides) under uncultured eukaryote. RNAcentral's name for it is "partial 18S ribosomal RNA". It matches the Rfam family "Eukaryotic small subunit ribosomal RNA", at positions 1470 to 1796 of the family's 1831-position model. The record is from RNAcentral.